AUGCCUUGGGAUUCCACAACUACCACAAAUCACAUCAUCUGGGUAAAACGGAUUGGGAGGCAAAUAAAUGUGAGAAGUACAUGUUUGCUUGGCUGGCAAAAGAGGAGGAUUACAGAGCCGAUGAUCCAGUUGGCAAGUGGUGAUCUGAAGACAGUGGCUGAAGUGCAACAGGAGAUGUCCCGCAAGACUGACACUCUCAUAGCUCGUUUGACGAGCCAGAUUAGUGCUAAGAGCAAGUACUUAACGGAACUUAAGUGCAAGUGUAAUCAGAUGGAUCUCGCUCUUCAAAGGGCCAUGGAAGAUAGCGACUCGCUGAACCAACGCUACAACGAAGAAAUGGGAAAGGUGCAGUCAACUGCCCGUGAACAUUCAUUGAAUUUUUUUCAUGAGACUGAUCAGCUGAGAAAGCAGUUGGAUGAGAAAGCGAACAACAUCAAAAGGAGAUCCAAGCAAUUAAGUGAAAUAGUUGCUCAAACUGACAUGGAGAGAAGAAAACUGGAGAAUGAGAGGACGAAGAAUGAUGGUCAAGACGACUCCCUCGACAUGGCCAGAAUUGAGCAAGAAAAAGCCAAUGAAAGUGUGCGGAUUCUUGUUGAGAAAUACGAAAAAGAGAAGGAAGUCGCUCUGAUCGAAACCUUGCAGUUAGAGAAGCAGCUUGAUGAGAAGCAUCGGCUGGAGCUGGAAAUUCAACAGCUUAGAGGCAAACUGGGGGUGGUGAAGCACAUGGAGGGAGAGGGCGUCGAUGGGAAGAAACGUACUGAAGAGCUGAAUAAGGAUCUACAGGAUAGAAUCGACGCGGCGGAAGACCUUGAAGAGCUAAAUCAAGCUCCGACUAUCAAGGAAAGGAUGACCAAUGAUGAAAUAAAACUUGAGCUUGUUGGUUUACAGGGCUCGGUGGAUCCGUUGGGCCCUGGUAGCAACAUUGGAAUCAGGAGGAUGGGUCAAGUGGAUGAGAAGCCGUUUGUUGAAGCUUGCAAGCCAAAGUACGGCGCGGAGGCGGAUGCUAAAGCUCUGGAAUUAUGCUCCAUGUGGCAAGACAAUCUGAGGGAUGCUAACUGGCACCCUUUCAAGAUAGCGACCACAGGUGAAAAGCCUUAG
This 1098-nucleotide ribosomal RNA is filed under the name Triticum aestivum (bread wheat). RNAcentral's name for it is "partial small subunit ribosomal RNA". The record is from RNAcentral. Lineage: Eukaryota; Viridiplantae; Streptophyta; Magnoliopsida; Poales; Poaceae.